Molecule: ribosomal RNA, 468 nt
Filed under: uncultured bacterium
Lineage: Bacteria
Description: partial 16S ribosomal RNA
Rfam family: Bacterial small subunit ribosomal RNA
Source: RNAcentral
GACGAACGCUGGCGGCGUGCUUAACACAUGCCAGUCGAACGCUAAGGCCCUGCUCUUGUAGCGUGCUCGAGUGGCGAACAGGUGAGUGUCACGUGAGUAGCCUGUCCUUGACUUUGGGGUACCUUCAGUGAACUGGAGCGCAUACCGCAUAUGAACACUUUAUGCAUGGUGGGGGUGGUUAAGUUUCGGCGGUUGGGGAUGGAAACGCGGCCUAUCGGCUUGUUGGUGGGGUAGUGGCUUACCAAGGCGUUGACGGGUAGCCGGCCUGGGAGGGUGACCGGCCACAUUGGGACUGAGAAAGCGGCCAGACUGCUACGGCAGGCAGCAGUGGGAAUUAGUGCAAACAGGGCGGAAGCCGGAUGCAGCAACGCCGGGUGCGGGAUGUCGGUCGGCGGGUUGGAACCCGCGUGCGCCUGGGACGAAGCGCGAGUGACGGUAAUGGGUAAAGAAGCAACGGCUAACUACGUG